AGCUCCAUUAGCGUAUAUUAAAGUUGUUGCAGUUAAAAAGCUCGUAGUUGGAUUUCGGUGUGGGCCAGUCGGUCGGCCGCAAGGCUUGUUCACUGGCUGGUCUGCUCUCUCAAUCUCAAAGACUGCACGUGCUCUUCACUGCAGUGUGUGUCAGGAUUUGGGACGUUUACUUUGAAAAAAUUAGAGUGUUCAAAGCAGGCUUUUCAAGCCCGGAUACAUGAGCAUGGAAUAAUGGAAUAGGACCGCGGUUCUAUUUUGUUGGUUUCUACGACCGCAGUAAUGAUUAAGAGGGACAAUUGGGGGCGUCCGUAUUUCGUUGUCAGAGGUGAAAUUCUUGGAUUUACGAAAGACGAACAACUGCGAAAGCAUUCGCCAAGAGUGUUUUCAUUAAUCAAGAACG
RNAcentral lists this ribosomal RNA (400 nucleotides) under phytoplankton environmental sample. RNAcentral's name for it is "partial small subunit ribosomal RNA". It matches the Rfam family "Eukaryotic small subunit ribosomal RNA", at positions 587 to 985 of the family's 1831-position model. The record is from RNAcentral.